Molecule: ribosomal RNA, 495 nt
Filed under: uncultured bacterium
Lineage: Bacteria
Description: partial 16S ribosomal RNA
Rfam family: Bacterial small subunit ribosomal RNA
Source: RNAcentral
GACGAACGCUGGCGGCGUGCCUAAUACAUGCAAGUAGAACGCUGAAGGAGGAGCUUGCUUCUCUGGAUGAGUUGCGAACGGGUGAGUAACGCGUAGGUAACCUGCCUGGUAGCGGGGGAUAACUAGUGGAAACGAUAGCUAAUACCGCAUAAGAGUAGAUGUUGCAUGACAUUUUCUUAAAAGGUGCAAUUGCGUCACUACCAGAUGGACCUGCGUUGUAUUAGCUGGUUGGUGGGGUAACGGCUCAACAAGGCGACGAUACAUAGCCGAGCUGAGAGGGUGAUCGGCCACACUGGGACUGAGACAAGGCCCAGACUCCUACGGGAGGCAGCAGGAGGGGAUCUUCGGAAAUGGACGGAAGUCUGACCGAGCAAAGCCGCGUGAGGGAAGAAGGUUUUCGGAUCGUAAAACUCUGUUGUAAGAGAAGAACGAGUGUGAGAGUGGAAAGUUCACACUGUGACGGUAUCUUACCAGAAAGAGACGGCUAACUACGUG